UUUAAUUACACACUCAAAAGGACCGAGAAAAAUAUGAAAAAAUAUAUAUAUUGUAUUAAAUUGAAAAUACCUCCAAAACUUUAUCUAUAAAGCGCAUAUUGCUAUCAAAAUGAGCAAACUAAAGAGAAACUCAACAAAACUAAUACAAAAAUCGAAAAAAGAGCUGUAACUUAAAUGUAACCACGUAGACAUUGUUCUUAUGUCCACGAAAUCUUCUCCUCGUACACAUAGUACUCAUAAAUAACUACAAUUGCCGAAACUAAGCUACUAUAAAAAAAUGAAAGUGAAAAAUUAUAAAAAUAAUGAAAAAAUUAAAUAAAACUACAACAAAAACUUCAUUCAAAGUCUAAACUUAAAGUCUAAAUUGAAAAAGAAAUCUAAAUAAAGCAUAAAUUUGUAGGCAAAUAGAAACUAACUGCAACUAAAUACAGAUAUAUUUAUUUCUUAUGUUACUUGCUGUGUUAGGUGGGUAUUUGUUGCGAUUUAUUUAACGGGAUCUUGAAAAGAUUGAAGAUCGGCAAACAAUUUUGGAAAACGUAAAGGAUUUGUAAGAACGUUUCCGAGCGUUUGAAAGUGGAUUAUUUUGUCGGGAAACAAUCGAAGGAGCAAGGUUUCUUGUUAAAUAAGAUCAGAGAUAUACAGCCCUAUUCAAAAUGAAAACCUCCGGGGAGAUUUCUCACUGCAAUAACACUUUUUUAUGAUGUUCUCUAGAGGAUCUGCUAAAAGAACAACGGAACUCAAUAUUUUUGUAAAUAUAUCGCAAGUUAUUAAAACGCAUUAAAUUCACUAUAUACAUAAUAAUUUCAUACAUUUAUUUAA
Molecule: long non-coding RNA, 819 nt
Organism: Ceratitis capitata (Mediterranean fruit fly)
Lineage: Eukaryota; Metazoa; Arthropoda; Insecta; Diptera; Tephritidae
Exons: 2
Source: RefSeq, a predicted model, not a curated record